Molecule: ribosomal RNA, 253 nt
Filed under: uncultured bacterium
Lineage: Bacteria
Description: partial 16S ribosomal RNA
Rfam family: Bacterial small subunit ribosomal RNA
Source: RNAcentral
GACGAACCGAGCGAACGUUGUUCGGAAUCACUGGGCUUAAAGGGCGCGUAGGCGGGCAUUCAAGUCCGUGGUGAAAUCCGGCAGCUCAACUGUCGAAUUGCCGCGGAUACUGGGUGUCUCGAGGGAGGUAGGGGCAUGCGGAACUAACGGUGGAGCGGUGAAAUGCGUUGAUAUCGUUAGGAACUCCGGUGGCGAAGGCGGCAUGCUGGACCUCUUCUGACGCUGAGGCGCGAAAGCCAGGGGAGCAAACGGG